GACGAACGCUGGCGGCGUGCUUAACACAUGCAAGUCGAACGGUAAGGCCCUUCGGGGUACACGAGUGGCGAACGGGUGAGUAACACGUGGGUGAUCUGCCCUGCACUUCGGGAUAAGCCUGGGAAACUGGGUCUAAUACCGGAUAGGACCACUGCCUGCAUGGGUGGUGGUGGAAAGCUUUUGCGGUGUGGGAUGGGCCCGCGGCCUAUCAGCUUGUUGGUGGGGUGAUGGCCUACCAAGGCGACGACGGGUAGCCGGCCAGAGAGGGUGACCGGCCAACCUGGGACUGAGAUACGGCCCAGACUCCUACGGGAGGCAGCAGUGGGGAAUAUUGCACAAUGGGCGCAAGCCUGAUGCAGCGACGCCGCGUGAGGGAUGACGGCCUUCGGGUUGUAAACCUCUUUCAGCACCGACGAAGCGCAAGUGACGGUAGGUGCAGAAGAAGGACCGGCCAACUACGUGCCAGCCGCCGCCGUAA
This 478-nucleotide ribosomal RNA is filed under the name uncultured bacterium. RNAcentral's name for it is "partial 16S ribosomal RNA". It matches the Rfam family "Bacterial small subunit ribosomal RNA", at positions 28 to 523 of the family's 1533-position model. The record is from RNAcentral.